Molecule: long non-coding RNA, 3727 nt
Organism: Brassica rapa (field mustard)
Lineage: Eukaryota; Viridiplantae; Streptophyta; Magnoliopsida; Brassicales; Brassicaceae
Source: RefSeq, a predicted model, not a curated record
UUUAUUUAUAACUACAAUAUAAAUUUAUAAAAUAUAUAUAUUAUAAAUUAAUAAUUUAUUUACCCUUGAAGUCUAACGAUUAAAAAUAGAACAUAAUUCAAUAUAGGUAUAUGAUUCUAUUAAUAAAUUAGCAGUUACAAAUUUGAAAUUUCUAGAAAUAUCAAAAGUCGUAUGUUAGUUAAUUAUCUUCUAAAUGACAUCUAUUUCUAAUUCUUUUUGGAUGAUAAUAUUUUAGCUGAUGUGGAUAGUCCCAAAAACCUUAAAUUUAGUCCCUUUUAUAUAGUAGGAUAAUUGGCAAAAGUGCAUAUAUGAGAGGCUUUAAUUAGCCACUUACACUUGAUUUGACAUAAAUAUUUUCAUGACCAUUUAGCCAUCUCUCUUAUUUCCUACAUAUUCUUUACUAGCUUUCUGUCUCUCUUUCUCUCUCUCUUCUCUCUUACUUCUCGCCAUUUUCUCUUCUAUUUUUUUUCUUCUUCCUGAAAACAUAUGUGAUGUUUCUAACUCCAAUCUCUAAUUAUUAUACAAAGCUCUAUUAUUCUAUAUCCAAUUCAAUUUUAAUUUUAAUAUUUAUUUCAUAUGUGGCUUUGAAUCUUCAAUUUUAUCGGUUCUUAUUUGAUUAUCAAUAUAAAUAGUAUUUAUAGUGCUUAAGCCAAUCAAUAAUAUAAUAACAGUCUUUAUAAUGCAAUAUUUGCUAUUAGUCUAAUAUAUUUGUUAUCAUGUAACAUAUAUGUUAGUUACUAAAAUUUACAUUAACAUGUAAAACAUCACGGAUAGCAGUCAAUAAUCGCCAUUUGUCGAUUGUUAAUAUUUGAUGUAUCAAUUAAAAACUAUUGUAAAUGCUAACAUAGGUGUCAGCCGUUAACAAUACAUAUACUAUAGGUGUUAACAGAGGUGCUGUUAACAAAUACUUGUAGCUGUUAACAGGGGUAUUAGCAGUUAAUAAAUAAUAUUGUAGAAUUUUCAAUUUAUCUAUCAAACUGAGUAAAUUUAAAAAUCAAUGUUAUAUUACGAAGAAGAAAAGAGAAUGAAGUGUUUUACGGAUAAAAAUAGCGGAGGAUUGGAGAAUAUAGAAAGAAAAGAAAUUAUAAAAGUAAAAAAAGUGAAAAUAAGAAGAAAUAGACUAUCAACAGAGAAGACCAUAUUCCUACCAAAAAAAAAAACAGAGAAGACCAUAUUGCAGAGGAAGAAAAGAGAGUGACAUGAGGGAAAGAGAGUGCCAGAUGAGAGAAAGAGAAUGUGAGGAAGGAAAAAACGCCAGAAAACUAUUAUGGUCAAACUGAAGGUAAAAUGGUAAGGCAAAUUGCAUUUGUGUCAAUUCAAUGGUAAAUAUCUAAUAUGGACUUCAAAUAUGGGUACUUGACUAAUUCUCCCUUUUACAUAAUAGUGUAUUCGUACUAAUGAUAUAUUAAGUCUUUAGUUUUUUUUAAAUAGAGCCGCAGCAGCACACCGGUUAGUUUCUGCAAUUAAGUUUUUAUUUUUACGCCGACAGAAAAGUAUUUACUUUUACACUAUUGGCAACGCAGAAGAAGGUACCGUUGGUUUGAAGUUUGAAUCUCAUUAUCUACGAACUGCCAAUAGGCCGUCUGAUGCGAAUCAGCUCAUAUGGGUUUUUUAGAUCUGCGACAGACUUGGAAAACUUAUAGGGAAGCCUUCUGAGAAGUUUUCUAACAUUUAUUGCACUAGACGACUUCCUGGAAGUCUACUGACAAAGUCUUCUACCAUGUCAAGUGGAGUCUAUGCUUGUCUUUGUGGAGGAAUGAGCUAUAACAGUUUUGUUUAUGGUUUGUUUUGUAAUUUGUAUGUGUACUCUUUUAGUUGUGAAUUUUUUUGUAAAUUUGAAAAUAUAUUAAAGAAAACAUUUGGUAAACAUGUUCAUGUCUACAAUAUUAUCUUGCCUAAAGUACUUGAUAGUAUUGAAGUUAUUGAUACUACUUCAAUAGCAAAACACAAUAACAAAAAAAAAUUAGUCAAAUUUACUACAACUAAUGGAGAAAACUUCUCAAGAAAACUUAGUCAAAUUUUCAAAGAUCAAACAUUACAUUAGUUCAACCCUAUAACGGUUUCAUUAGAAGUCUUCUGGGAAGAUUUCUUCUCAUAAGACUUUUUGGAAGACUUAAAUUUCAAGCGGAAAUUUUAAAUAUAAGCGGGAAAUUUAAGCGGAAAACUAAAAUUUAAGCGAAAAACUCAAAUUUUAAGUGGAAAUUAAAAUUUCAAAUUGUAUGAAAGUUAAAAUGUAUAUCUUAUGAUCUAAGAAGACACAUUAAACCAUAUGACUUGAUAUUCUUGAAGUUACUUAACACUUUUGAAAGUUAGAAAAUAUAUAUCUUAAAAUUAAAAAUAAAAGUCUUCUCUCAUUAGCUAGAAAUAUUAAUAAACAUGAAUGUUGUUAACCUCAUGAUAUCACCAAUUAAGUUAUGAAUUUCAUUCAGGAUCCCUAAUAUUGAAAAAUAUACAUGAAUUAACAAGAAAAUGUUAAAACGUCUUUAUAGUUUUAGAGAAAAUAAAAUUUUAUUAAAGGUUGACAUAGACGACUUCCACAAAAAUCUUCUGGAAGACUUACACGGAAGUCUUCUGGUCAAUGCAUAGGUUAGUUUUGCAAUUGGCUUUAUGUGUCAAAAAUUUAAUUUUUCCUAGACAACUUACAUGGAAGUCGUCUAAGAUAAACAUGUUAGUUUUGCAUUUGACCGGAUUGUGUCAUAAAUUUGAUUUUUCCUAGACGACUUACACGAAAUUCGUCCAACAUAAAAAUAAAAUUUAAAUAAUUAGAUGAAUUCAAUGUAAGUCGUUUCAGGUUACUUUUGCAAUUGAAAAAUAAAACUUUAAUAUUUUAUUUUAUCCGAACGACUUCCAUAUAAGUCUUUCGGCAGACGGCUUACACGAAAGUCUUUUGUAAUAACAAAGGUUUGACCAGAAUCUCGGAAUAAAAUUUUGGAAGACUUUCGUGUAAGUCGUCUACUGGAAGACUUACAUGGAAGUCGUCUGGAUAAAAUUAAAUAUUUAAUUUUUAUUUUUCAAUUGCAAAAGUAACCUGAAACGACUUACUUGGAAGUCGUCUAGUAAAAAUUAAAUAUUUUGUUUUAUUUUUAUGUUGGACAACUUUCAUGUAACUCGACUAGAAAUAGUCGAAUUUCUGACACAAUCCGGUCAAAUACAAAACUAACUUGUUUAUCCUAGACGACUUACCGGGACGUCUUCUCUAAUUUUUUUUAUAACAAAGAAAACCGGAAGACUUCCAGAGAAUUCGUCUCUAAAAGACACACAUAGAGUCAAUUGCAAAACUAACAUAUACAUUAACAAGAAAACUUUAGUGUAAGUCUUCUCUUCGGUGAAGACUUACACGGAAGUCUUCUGAUGGACAAAUCUGGAAAAAAGAUUUAAUUUCGUACCUUUAACCAGUAAGAUAAACUUUUUAGCUUCUCCAACCACAUAAUACUUUGCCACCAAAGCAACCUACUUGUUAAUGACGACGAAUCAUGAGAUUGAAUGGUUUUAUGAACCUUAAAAAUUUUAGAAUCAAAAUCUUUGGUUUUAGGAUGAAUAUAGAGAGAAAGUGGAAGAAAUGUUGUUUUUAGUUUCUAAGAAAUGAGAUAGAAAGAGUCAAAAUCGAUCUUUAGGUGCAUUAAGAGCUUCAAAUUGGUUAUUCAUGAUAGUUGGUAUAUUGAUGGCAAUGACAAUAUUGUAAAUACUUGAAGAAGAUGAAGAUAAGAGAGUAAAAAAUUUAUUUUGA